Molecule: ribosomal RNA, 259 nt
Filed under: uncultured bacterium
Lineage: Bacteria
Description: partial 16S ribosomal RNA
Rfam family: Bacterial small subunit ribosomal RNA
Source: RNAcentral
CGGCGGACGGGUGAGUAACGCGUGGGUAACCUGCCUUACACAGGGGGAUAACAGUUAGAAAUGACUGCUAAUACCGCAUAACCCGCUAGGGCCGCAUGGCCCGGACGGAAAAGAUUUUAUCGGUGUAAGAUGGACCCGCGUCUGAUUAGCUGGUUGGUGAGGUAACGGCUCACCAAGGCGACGAUCAGUAGCCGACCUGAGAGGGUGAUCGGCCACAUUGGGACUGAGACACGGCCCAAACUCCUACGGAAGGCAGCAG